This 1081-nucleotide long non-coding RNA is filed under the name Carica papaya (papaya). Its description in RNAcentral is "long non-coding RNA (CPAP_LNC013398)". The record is from RNAcentral. Lineage: Eukaryota; Viridiplantae; Streptophyta; Magnoliopsida; Brassicales; Caricaceae.
AAUGAAGGUGGAGGGAUCAGGGAAGUAUUAGACGAGGACACAAGGACAGAUCGGAAAUCCAGAUUCAUUCGCAAUUAAUGCUAGAGAUCCCUCUACCAACCUUGUCCAACUAAUGCUGACCAAAGAGGACCUCACUAAAUCUGAACUGGGGAGAUCUAUAGACCACACUGAACACUCAAAUACUGAGGUAUAAGUUAAGUUCAAGUAAGUACUGUUGUCAGCCCAACAAUGAAAAAGAGACCCUCAAGUCUUGAUAGCUAUAAAGCCCAUGAAAUUAUGAAAAAGGAUCUGGACCUGUUGAAUGUAUUUACACUAAAUUUGCUUAUUUAUCCUUACAUGAGCCUACUGGACCAUCCACUCAAGCCUUUUCACGAGAUCCCUCUUAAAGAAUCUCUCUCAAGUGCAGAGCAAGAUUUCUUGAUAGGAGGCAAGUAAUGACAGUAAACCAGGCAACCUCCUCUCUUAAAAAUCAAAAGAAGGCAGCGAAUACAGCCCAAAUGCCUCCUUUUAAGCGAUGAGUGUUUUUGCCUGAAAUUGCAGACAAUUGGUCAGAUUCUGUAGUUCUCAGAAUAAAGGCCCUUGUAAAACAAUAUAAUCCUUUUCUGACUUUUCUCUCAGAAGCUAAUGUUCAGAUAGAAAAAAUGGAAGUUGUUUUGAAGAAUAUAAAAUUCUCAAACUUCAUCAUUCAUGAGCCACUGAGAUACAAAGGAAGGCUAUGCAUUGGCUGCAUAAAACUGAGAAUCCUAAAUGGGAAGUUUCAGGAAUCUAUGACCAUCUGGUUGUCACGAAACAAAAGACCUUUAUUGCUAAGCUACUUCUAUUAGGUAAUAUAAUCCAUCUUCCUCGCUUCUCAUGGGUGACUUUAACAUCACUUUAGUGGAUCACAAACGCAAUUUCCCCGCAAGGAACCUGGAAGGUAAUUCUGACUUAUUAUUUGGAGAUAGUUAAUUCUCUAGAACUGAUGGAUCUAAGCUAUACUGGUAAGCCAUGAACAUAAUAUUAGAGAGUAAAGAAACUCAGAAAAGUGAAGUAGAAGAAGAAAUUACUUCUUUAUUUAUUGAUUCAUGGAGAUAUAGCUCUC